AUUGAGCGCUGGCGGAAGGAAGAAAAAAGGAAAGUAGAGCGGAUGAAGGGAGCUUGCUUCUGGAUUAAGUGGAGGAAGGGUGAGUAAUGCCUAGUAAUCUGAUUGGUAGUGGGGUAUAACGUCCGGAAACGGGCGCUAAUACCGCAUACGUCCUUAUGUAGAAAGUGGGGGAUCUUCGGACCUCACGCUAUCAUAUGAGCCUAGGUCGGAUUAGCUAGUUGGUGGGGUCAAGGCCUACCAAGGCGACGAUCCGUAACUGGUCUGAGAGGAUGAUCAGUCACACUGGAACUGAGACACGGUCCAGAAUCCUACGGGAGGAAGCAGUGGGGAAUAUUGGACAAUGGGCGAAAGCCUGAUCAAGCAAUGCCGCGUGUGUGAAGAAGGGAGUCGGAUUGUAAAGCACUUUAAGUUGGGAGGAAGGGAAGGAAGUUAAUACCUUGCUGUUUUGACGUUACCAACAGAAUAAGCACCGGCUAACUUCGUC
This 484-nucleotide ribosomal RNA is filed under the name uncultured bacterium. Its description in RNAcentral is "partial 16S ribosomal RNA". It matches the Rfam family "Bacterial small subunit ribosomal RNA", at positions 30 to 507 of the family's 1533-position model. The record is from RNAcentral.